UGCAUUGGUCUACAUAGAUUGGUACCUAUCAUGUAAAAUAAGUGUGAAAGAUGCCACGCUAUGUAGAUCAACGCU
Non-coding RNA from Rattus norvegicus (Norway rat), 75 nucleotides. The record is from Rfam. Lineage: Eukaryota; Metazoa; Chordata; Mammalia; Rodentia; Muridae.